Molecule: long non-coding RNA, 311 nt
Filed under: Rattus norvegicus (Norway rat)
Lineage: Eukaryota; Metazoa; Chordata; Mammalia; Rodentia; Muridae
Description: long non-coding RNA NONRATT003030
Source: RNAcentral
GUGGAGACAGAGCUGCCUAUUUUUUCCCCUUCCUUGAUUCCAGCGAGCAUGAGUUUCCUCGCAGCCCAGGUGGAGCCACACUGACCAGACCAGCAAUCAGUUAAAGGAUCUACUAAGGCCAUGUCUGUUCCAUCAUCCCUGAGCCAGUCGGCCAUUAAUGCUAACAGCCACGGAGGCCCUGCACUCAGCUUCCCCUUCCCCUUGCAUGCUGCCCAUAACCAGCUGCUCAACGCCAAGCUGCAAGCCACAGCUGUGGUACCCAAGGACCUUCGAAGUGCCAUGGGAGAGGGUAGUGUGCCUGAACCAGGCCC